GAUGAACGCUGGCGGCGUGCCUAAUACAUGCAAGUCGAACGAGGUGCUUUUUUGUAGCAAUACGGAGAGUAUCCUAGUGGCGAACGGGUGAGUAACGCGUUGGUGACCUACCCCAAAGUGUGGGAUAACAGUCCGAAAGGAUUGCUAAUACCGCAUGUGGUCUUCGGAUUGUAGAAACUGAUGACUAAAGGAGUAAUCCGCUUUGGGAAGGACCUGCGUCCCAUCAGCUAGUUGGUGAGGUAACGGCCCUCCAAGGCGACGACGGGUAGGGGACCUGAGAGGGUGGCCCCCCCACAAUGGAACUGAAACACGGUCCAUACACCUACGGUGGCAGCAGUAGGGAAUAUUGCACAAUGGGCGAAAGCCAGAUGCAGCAACGCCGCGUGUGCGAUGAAGGCCUUCGGGUCGUAAAGCACUUUUCUGGGAGAUGAGAAAGGACAGUAUCUCAGGAAUAAGUCUCGGCGAACUAGGUGCCAGCAGCCGCGGUAAAACGUAGGAGGCAAGCGUUAUCCGGAUUCACUGGGUGUAAAGCGCGUGCAGGCGGUUCGGUAAGUUGGGCGUGAAAACACCUGGCCUACUAGGAGAGGACGUUCAAUACUACCGGACUUUGAGAGUGGUAGAGGAAGAUGGAAUUCCCGGU
RNAcentral lists this ribosomal RNA (640 nucleotides) under filamentous symbiotic bacterium of Methylobacterium sp. Its description in RNAcentral is "bacterial SSU rRNA". It matches the Rfam family "Bacterial small subunit ribosomal RNA", at positions 28 to 674 of the family's 1533-position model. The record is from RNAcentral.